This 1505-nucleotide ribosomal RNA is filed under the name uncultured bacterium. RNAcentral describes it as "bacterial SSU rRNA". It matches the Rfam family "Bacterial small subunit ribosomal RNA". The record is from RNAcentral.
AGAGUUUGAUCAUGGCUCAGGACGAACGCUAGCGGCGUGCCUAAACUAUGCAAGUCGAGCGGGGUUCCAGUGCAAAGUCUCCUUCGGGAGAUGGCGCGCUGUAACCUAGCGGCGAACGGGUGAGUAACACGUGAGCGACCUGCCCCGUUGACCGGGAUAACAAGCCGAAAGGCCUGCUAAUACCGGAUACGAAGCUCCGUCGCAUGGCGGAGCUUGGAAAGGGGAAACCCGCAAUGGGAGGGGCUCGCGGCCCAUCAGCUUGUUGGUAGGGUAACGGCCUACCAAGGCGACGACGGGUAGCCGACCUGAGAGGGUGACCGGCCACACUGGGACUGAGACACGGCCCAGACUCCUACGGGAGGCAGCAAGUGGGAAUAUUGUCCAAUGGGCGAAAGCCUGAGACAGCGACGCCGCGUGAGGGAUGAAGGCCUUCGGGUCGUAAACCUCUGUUGAUGGGGACGAAGAUCUGACGGUACCCAUCGAGGAAGCCCCGGCUAACUCCGUGCCAGCAGCCGCGGUAAUACGGAGGGGGCAAGCGUUGUCCGGAUUUACUGGGCGUAAAGAGCACGUAGGCGGUCUUUUAAGUCGGCUGUGAAAGCGCUGGGCUCAACCCAGCAAGGUCAGUCGAUACUGAUAGACUUGAGUCCGGGAGAGGGAAGUGGAAUAGCUGGUGUAGCGGUGGAAUGCGUAGAUAUCAGCUAGAACACCGGUGGCGAAGGCGGCUUCCUGGACCGGUACUGACGCUGAGGUGCGAAAGCUAGGGGAGCGAACCGGAUUAGAUACCCGGGUAGUCCUAGCCGUAAACGAUGGUCACUAGGUGUUGCGGGUAUCGACCCCUGCAGUGCCGGAGCUAACGCAUUAAGUGACCCGCCUGGGGAGUACGGCCGCAAGGCUGAAACUCAAACUGGAAUUGACGGGGCCCCGCACAAGCGGUGGAGCAUGUGGCUCAAUUCGAGGCUACGCGAAGAACCUUACCAGGGCUUGACAUCCGCGGAAUCCCGCCGAAAAGUGGGAGUGCCCUUCGGGGAGCCGCGUGACAGGUGGUGCAUGGCUGUCGUCAGCUCGUGUCGUGAGAUGUUGGGUUAAGUUCCGCAACGAGCGCAACCCUCGUCCUAUGUUGCCAUCAGUUCGGCUGGGCACUCAUAGGGGACUGCCAGAGUAAUCUGGAGGAAGGUGGGGAUGACGUCAAGUCCGCAUGCCCCUUACGUCCUGGGCUGCACACAUGCUACAAUGGGCGGUACAGAGGGAAGCAAUACCGCGAGGUGGAGCCGAUCCCAAAAAACCGUCCUCAGUUCGGAUCGGAGUCUGCAACUCGACUCCGUGAAGUCGGAAUCGCUAGUAACCGCAGGUCAGCAACACUGCGGUGAAUACGUUCCCGGGGCUUGUACACACCGCCCGUCAAGCGAUGAAAGUCGGUUGCACCCGAAGUCACUGGCCUAACCCGCAAGGGCAGGAGGUGCCGAAGGUGCGGUCGGCGAUUGGCGCUAAGUCGUAACAAGGUAACC